RNAcentral lists this ribosomal RNA (812 nucleotides) under uncultured bacterium. Its description in RNAcentral is "bacterial SSU rRNA". It matches the Rfam family "Bacterial small subunit ribosomal RNA", at positions 97 to 913 of the family's 1533-position model. The record is from RNAcentral.
GGCGCACGGGUGCGUAACGCGUAUGCAAUCUACUUUUUACAGAGGGAUAGCCCAGAGAAAUUUGGAUUAAUACCUCAUAGUAUUAUGAAAUGGCAUCAUUUUAUAAUUAAAGUCACAACGGUAAAAGAUGAGCAUGCGUCCCAUUAGCUAGUUGGUAAGGUAACGGCUUACCAAGGCUACGAUGGGUAGGGGUCCUGAGAGGGAGAUCCCCCACACUGGUACUGAGACACGGACCAGACUCCUACGGGAGGCAGCAGUGAGGAAUAUUGGACAAUGGGCGCAAGCCUGAUCCAGCCAUGCCGCGUGCAGGAUGACGGUCCUAUGGAUUGUAAACUGCUUUUAUACGAGAAGAAACACUCCUUCGUGAAGGAGCUUGACGGUAUCGUAAGAAUAAGGAUCGGCUAACUCCGUGCCAGCAGCCGCGGUAAUACGGAGGAUCCAAGCGUUAUCCGGAAUCAUUGGGUUUAAAGGGUCCGUAGGCGGUUUAAUAAGUCAGUGGUGAAAGCCCAUCGCUCAACGGUGGAACGGCCAUUGAUACUGUUAAACUUGAAUUAUUAGGAAGUAACUAGAAUAUGUAGUGUAGCGGUGAAAUGCUUAGAGAUUACAUGGAAUACCAAUUGCGAAGGCAGGUUACUACUAAUGGAUUGACGCUGAUGGACGAAAGCGUGGGUAGCGAACAGGAUUAGAUACCCUGGUAGUCCACGCCGUAAACGAUGGAUACUAGCUGUUGGGAGCAAUCUCAGUGGCUAAGCGAAAGUGAUAAGUAUCCCACCUGGGGAGUACGUUCGCAAGAAUGAACUCAAAGAAAUUGA